This 1262-nucleotide ribosomal RNA is filed under the name uncultured delta proteobacterium. Its description in RNAcentral is "partial 16S ribosomal RNA". It matches the Rfam family "Bacterial small subunit ribosomal RNA", at positions 62 to 1327 of the family's 1533-position model. The record is from RNAcentral. Lineage: Bacteria; Deltaproteobacteria.
UCGAACGAGAAAGUUUCCUUCGGGAAAUUAGUAAAGUGGCGCAAGGGUGAGUAUCACGUAAAUAAUCUGCCCUCGAGAUCGGGAUAACAUGGUGAAAACUAUGCUAAUACCGGAUAAGACCACAUUUCAUAAGAAAUGCGGUAAAAGGAGUCUCAAUCUUCACUCGAGGAUGAGUUCGCGCAACAUUAGCUUGUUGGUGAGAUAAAAGCUCACCAAGGCUACGAUGUUUAGCCGGCCUGAGAGGGUGAACGGCCACACUGGAACUGAGACACGGUCCAGACUCCUACGGGAGGCAGCAGUGGGGAAUAUUGCGCAAUGGGCGAAAGCCUGACGCAGCAACGCCGUGUGAGCGAUGAAGGCUUUAGAGUCGUAAAGCUCUGUCAAAUGGGAAGAAUUCUGACGGUACCAUUAGAGGAAGCCCCGGCUAACUCCGUGCCAGCAGCCGCGGUAAUACGGAGGGGGCAAGCGUUGUUCGGAAUUAUUGGGCGUAAAGCGUAUGUAGGCGGCUAAGUAAGUCAGGCGUGCAAGCCCGUGGCUCAACCACGGAAUUGCGUUUGAAACUACUUAGCUUGAGUACAGGAGAGGAAAGCGGAAUUCCCAGUGUAGCGGUGAAAUGCAUUGAUAUUGGGAAGAACAUCUGUGGCGAAGGCGGCUUUCUGGUCUGUUACUGACGCUGAGGUACGAAAGCCAGGGUAGCGAACGGGAUUAGAUACCCCGGUAGUCCUGGCUGUAAACGAUGGGCACUAGGUGCAGGAGGUAUCGAUCCCCUCUGUGCCGUAGCUAACGCGUUAAGUGCCCCGCCUGGGGAGUACGGUCGCAAGGCUGAAACUCAAAGGAAUUGACGGGGGCCCGCACAAGCGGUGGAGCAUGUGGUUUAAUUCGACGCACGCGAGAACCUUACCUGAGCUUGACAUGCACGGGCAGCCAUAGAGUAUGGCCCUCUUCGGAGUCGUGUGCAGUGCUGCAUGCUGUCGUCAGCUCGUGUCGUGAGAUGUUGGGUAGUCCCGCACGAGCGCAACCCUGCUUUAGUUGCAUCGGGUCAUGCGGGACUCUAAGGACUGCGGUGAUAACCGAGGAAGGGGGGGAUGACGUCAAGUCCUCAUGGCCUUAUGCUCAGGCUACCACGUGCUACAAUGGCUGGUUGCCAAAGAGUCCCCCACCUCACAGGGGGAGCCUAAUCUUCAUAAAACAAGCUCAGUCCCCAAUGAAGAUUUGUGGGAAUCGGCACUCCCUCCCAAAAUUGUGAAGUCCUCCAUCCAGAC